CUAGCCCUGAAAAUGGAUGGCGCUGAAGCGUCGAGCCUAUACUCUGCCGUCAGCGGCAAGUGGGGCGGCCGCGUGCGCGCGCUUGCUCGCGCACGCGCCGUCAUGAAGCCCUGACGAGUAGGAGGGUCGCGGCGGUGCGCGCAGAAGGGUCUGGGCGCGAGCCUGCCUGGAGCCGCCGUCGGUGCAGAUCUUGGUGGUAGUAGCAAAUACUCCAGCGAGG
Molecule: non-coding RNA, 220 nt
Filed under: Acromyrmex echinatior (Panamanian leafcutter ant)
Lineage: Eukaryota; Metazoa; Arthropoda; Insecta; Hymenoptera; Formicidae
Description: Eukaryotic large subunit ribosomal RNA
Rfam family: Eukaryotic large subunit ribosomal RNA
Source: Rfam by way of RNAcentral